AGUCGUCGGUUCAACCCCCACCGAUCACGUUCGAGUGGUAUUCGGGUGUGGCGACUCAGAGAGCGAAUAUCGCACAAAUUAUAAAAGUAGCUGAACCGACUGGACUGUCUCUGUGCCUGAAAAAUCUGAAGACGGCUAGGCGCAUGUGAGCCGGCACAUGACGUUACGUGGAGUAAUUACCCACUGCCCGAGGGUAGGCGAAGGUAGGCACAGGCUGGUGGCAUACGAGGCUCUAAGGGCCCGGGACGGUUCCCUUCAAAGGGGGGGGAAUGUAGCAGCCGGUACACAGUACGGCGCUAUAAAUACGCGCAGAGCGCGACCGCCAGCAACUCGAGAGACCUUUUCAGCGGUCAGCUGCUACACUU
RNAcentral lists this long non-coding RNA (365 nucleotides) under Volvox carteri. Its description in RNAcentral is "long non-coding RNA (VCAR_LNC002992)". Lineage: Eukaryota; Viridiplantae; Chlorophyta; Chlorophyceae; Chlamydomonadales; Volvocaceae. The record is from RNAcentral.